Molecule: ribosomal RNA, 497 nt
Filed under: uncultured bacterium
Lineage: Bacteria
Description: partial 16S ribosomal RNA
Rfam family: Bacterial small subunit ribosomal RNA
Source: RNAcentral
GAUGAACGCUGGCGGCGUGCCUAAUACAUGCAAGUCGAGCGAACAGACGAGGAGCUUGCUCCUCUGACGUUAGCGGCGGACGGGUGAGUAACACGUGGAUAACCUACCUAUAAGACUGGGAUAACUUCGGGAAACCGGAGCUAAUACCGGAUAAUAUAUUGAACCGCAUGGUUCAAUAGUGAAAGACGGUUUUGCUGUCACUUAUAGAUGGAUCCGCGCCGCAUUAGCUAGUUGGUAAGGUAACGGCUUACCAAGGCAACGAUGCGUAGCCGACCUGAGAGGGUGAUCGGCCACACUGGAACUGAGACACGGUUCAGACUCCUACGGGAGGCAGCAGUAGGGAAUCUUCCGCAAUGGGCGAAAGCCUGACGGAGCAACGCCGCGUGAGUGAUGAAGGUCUUCGGAUCGUAAAACUCUGUUAUUAGGGAAGAACAAAUGUGUAAGUAACUAUGCACGUCUUGACGGUACCUAAUCAGAAAGCCACGGCUAGCUACGUG